GGAGAACCCGUCGGAAACCAAAAUAAACAAAUAAACAGGAGGCGAGGCUGGGCCUCGGCCUCUUGUUGGGGGUAGAAAAUUCCAUUGACACGCGCGCACACGCGAGGAAUUCAGAGGAAAUGAAAUCUUGCUAUUUCAGUGGAACCCAUUGUACUCGCGUAACUCGGCCCAUAACUCACCAGAAAUUCAUUGACUCGGGAUUUAAUUACGGGUUUGUUGCCAUUGGAAAGAAGACGCAGAUGUGAGAAUUUAUCCUUUAUUUUCCAUCUUAAUUAGAAUCAGGCAAUUACCAUCUUUAUUGACAGCUUACAUUAUUUCAGCUAAAGACGAAAUGUUAAACGCCAUUUUGGAUAUUAGGGUUCUCUGAUUUUGUUCAACUAUGUAGUGUUGUGCAUUUCAUUCUUUGUAAUUUUCGAAAGAACUAUGGGAAGAGAAAUUAANNN
Molecule: long non-coding RNA, 443 nt
Filed under: Olea europaea (common olive)
Lineage: Eukaryota; Viridiplantae; Streptophyta; Magnoliopsida; Lamiales; Oleaceae
Description: long non-coding RNA (OEUR_LNC002428)
Source: RNAcentral